Molecule: long non-coding RNA, 1188 nt
Filed under: Canis lupus familiaris (dog)
Lineage: Eukaryota; Metazoa; Chordata; Mammalia; Carnivora; Canidae
Description: lncRNA (ENSCAFG00040000444.1)
Source: RNAcentral
CACACACAGACAUUGGCUGAUACUGUUACUGGUGCCUGCUGCCUCUUCCAUGAAGCAUAACCUGAUUUCCCCCAGCUCGUUGAGUGACUCCUUCUGUAGUGGCAUGAAGCUCAUGGCUUCUUAUAUGGCAUCAUCAGUCUCUCUCAGGGUAACCAACACUGGGACUGUUCUGGUUUGAGCACAAAAAGCCUCAGAUCCCUGGAAACCCCUCAGCCCCAGGCAACCAGGAUGGCUAGUCACCCUACUCCCUCUGAAUGGCUAGCUCUUUUUUUUCUUUUUUUGAAGAUUUUAUGUAUUUAUUUUUGAGAGAGAGCGUAUGAGCGGUGGGGAGGGGUAGGGGGAGAGGGAGAAGCAGGCUCCUCGCUGAGCAGGGAGCCUGAUGCGGGGCUGGAUCCCAGGACCCUGAGAUCGUGACCUGAGCCCCCCCAGGCGCCCCAUGAACUGCUAGCUCCUGAAGACAAGGACCUGUCUUACUCAUCACCACACGCCCAGAAUGCUGCGUGACCAGGAUGUAGGUGGAAGUAAACCAGUGUCCAACUAAAGAAAAGAAGAAAGGAAAGAGGGAGGGAAGGAAGGAAGGAAGGAAGGAGCAAUACUAUUUUGAAAUAUCACUCGUGUUUUGUCUUCUUGGAAACUCAGAUUCUCCUCCCACCUCCUCGCUCCCUCGCAGGACCCUUGAACUUGAAGCUGAGGCCAUGAGGCUUUCGCUCCGGGGAAGCGAGGGCUGAUACUGCCUGGAACAAAGAAGUGUUGCUCUACUUUGAGUUUCGACUGGCCUUUAAAAAUAAAAACUCAUUGUGAGGUAAUGUUCUUGCAAGCCAGGCUCUCUGAAGAGAAAAGCUAUUUUCUCAGAACGCCUCCAGAGCCGGGUUUUAGAUCUCAGGAGCCGAAGCUGGGAGGACCCAUGGGAGGGUGAUCCGUAAGGCUCGACAUGGAGACCCCCACGGGAGCAAGAGGUGGGUGCAGAGUGGUGGAGAGAGGUGGCCAAGGGAAGAGGUCCGGUUAGCGGGCCCAGGGCGGCCCACCAGGCCCACCCUCUCUGGCAAGGUGCCCAGAGAGCAACGGAGAGUCUGCAGACUCCGGGAGGCCCAGCCGGGCUGGAGUCCUGAGGUGACCUGGUGGGGCGAGGGGGCCACUGGAGUGGGCCCUGGGGACCAGGACCAGUGAGCACGGCACAUCACUCAAGGA